UACGUUCCCGGGCCUUGUACACACCGCCCGUCACACCACGAAAGUCGGCAACACCCGAAGCCAGUGGCCCAACCGUAAGGGGGGAGCUGUCGAAGGUGGGGUCGGUGAUUGGGGUG
This 116-nucleotide ribosomal RNA is filed under the name uncultured bacterium. Its description in RNAcentral is "partial 16S ribosomal RNA". It matches the Rfam family "Bacterial small subunit ribosomal RNA", at positions 1367 to 1482 of the family's 1533-position model. The record is from RNAcentral.